RNA transcript from Echinops telfairi (small Madagascar hedgehog), 4387 nucleotides. It is a transcript of the gene named synaptosome associated protein 91, with no coding region annotated. The record is from RefSeq and is a predicted model, not a curated record. The transcript has 31 exons. Lineage: Eukaryota; Metazoa; Chordata; Mammalia; Afrosoricida; Tenrecidae.
GAGGCUGGCAGGGGAGGCGAGGGCAUAACAUGGCGCGAUGCUAGGAUAAUCUCCACCGCGGCCGAGGGAGGACGGACCUAUUGCUGCAGUAGCGCGAGGAGAAAGAGGAGGAGGGAGGCAGCCGGGGUUGGGUAUCCGAUUCAUUCUCCAAAGCUUUCAGAUCUUCCGGGAGGAAACGCGGCGGCCGCGGCGGUGGGGAGGUGAGAGAAGAGGAGGCAGUAGACUUGGCCGGAGAAGAUGUCGGGCCAAACGCUCACGGAUCGGAUCGCUGCGGCUCAGUACAGCGUGACAGGCUCCGCUGUGGCGAGAGCGGUCUGCAAAGCCACCACUCAUGAAGUGAUGGGCCCCAAGAAAAAGCACCUGGACUAUCUGAUCCAGGCCACCAACGAGACCAAUGUGAAUAUUCCUCAGAUGGCGGACACGCUCUUUGAGCGAGCCACAAAUAGCAGCUGGGUGGUUGUAUUUAAAGCUUUAGUGACGACACAUCAUCUCAUGGUGCAUGGAAAUGAGAGAUUUAUUCAGUAUUUGGCCUCUAGAAAUACACUAUUCAAUCUCAGCAACUUUUUGGAUAAAAGUGGAUCACAUGGCUAUGAUAUGUCUACCUUCAUAAGGCGCUACAGUAGAUAUUUAAAUGAAAAGGCUUUCUCUUACAGACAGAUGGCAUUUGAUUUUGCCAGGGUGAAGAAAGGGGCUGAUGGUGUAAUGAGGACAAUGGCUCCUGAAAAGCUACUAAAAAGCAUGCCAAUACUACAGGGACAGAUUGAUGCGCUGCUUGAAUUUGAUGUGCAUCCAAAUGAACUAACAAAUGGUGUCAUAAAUGCUGCAUUUAUGCUUCUUUUCAAAGACCUUAUCAAACUUUUUGCUUGCUACAAUGAUGGAGUUAUUAACUUACUUGAAAAGUUCUUUGAAAUGAAGAAGGGACAAUGUAAAGAUGCACUAGAAAUUUACAAACGCUUCCUCACCAGAAUGACACGAGUGUCUGAAUUUCUCAAAGUGGCCGAGCAAGUUGGUAUCGAUAAAGGUGACAUUCCUGACCUCACACAGGCUCCCAGCAGUCUCAUGGAGACCCUUGAACAGCAUCUAAAUACAUUAGAAGGAAAGAAACCCGGAAACAAUGAAGGAUCUGGUGCUCCCUCUCCAUUAAGUAAGUCUUCUCCAGCCACAACCGUUACGUCGCCUAAUUCCACACCAGCGAAAACCGUUGACACUUCCCCUCCGGUUGAUUUAUUUGCAACUGCGUCUGCUGCUGCCCCAGUCAGCUCUUCUAAGCCAUCCAGUGAUCUCCUUGACCUCCAACCUGACUUUUCCCCAGGAGGGGCAGCAGCAGCUGCGGCACCAGCACCCCCGCCACCUUCUGGAGGAGCCACGGCGUGGGGAGACCUUUUGGGAGAGGAUUCUUUGGCUGCACUAGCUUCUGUUCCCUCUGAAGCACAGAUUUCAGAUCCGUUUGCACCAGAACCUACCCUGCCUCCUACAGCUGCUGAAAUCGCAACGGCUUCAGCGUCUGCCUCCACCACCACCACUGUUACUGCUGUCACAGCUGAGGUGGAUCUCUUCGGAGAUGCCUUUGCAGCUUCUCCUGGGGAGGCCCCUGCAGCAUCCGAAGGGGCCGCCGUACCAGCUACCCCAACCCCUGUAGCAGCAGCACUUGAUGCAUGUUCAGGAAAUGACCCCUUUGCCCCGUCUGAAGGUAGUGCAGAGGCUGCACCUGAGCUGGACCUCUUUGCAAUGAAGCCUCCUGAGACCAGUGUUCCUGUAGUUACCCCUACAGCUAGCACAGCCCCUCCGGUUCCCGCAACCGCUCCUUCUCCUGCUCCUGCCGUUGCAGCGGCCACUGCUGUCACUACUGCUGCCGCCACCACUGCCACCACCUCCGCCACAGCCACCACCACUGCUGCUCCUGCUCUAGAUAUCUUUGGUGAUCUAUUUGAGUCGGCCCCGGAAGCCCCUGCAGCGCCUAAGCCGGAUGCUGCUGCUCCUAGCAUAGACUUGUUUGGUACAGAUGCUUUCUCCUCUCCACCGCAAGGGGCCUCUCCUGUGCCUGAGAGCUCUCUCACUGCAGACCUCUUAUCCGUGGAUGCAUUUACAGCACCAUCUCCUGCAACCACUGCCUCUCCGGCAAAGGUGGACUCUUCAGGUGUGAUAGACCUAUUUGGGGAUGCGUUUGGAAGUAGUGCUUCUGAACCUCAACCUGCACCUCAGGCUGCUUCUAGUUCCUCAGCAUCGGCAGACCUCCUGGCUGGAUUUGGGGGUACUUUCAUGGCCCCUUCUCCAUCACCAGUGACUCCAGCUCAGAAUAACCUGCUACAACCCAAUUUUGAAGCAGCUUUUGGGGCAACGCCUUCAACUUCCAGCAGCAGCUCAUUUGAUCCAUCAGUGUUUGACGGCCUAGGUGAUCUUCUGAUGCCAACUAUGGUACCCGCCGGGCAGCCUGCGCCUGUGUCAGUGCUACCGCCCAGUCCCGCAAUGGCUGCAAGCAAAGCCCUGGGGAGUGAUCUUGAUUCGUCUCUUGCCAGCUUAGUAGGCAAUCUUGGAAUUUCUGGUACCACAACAAAAAAGGGAGAUCUUCAGUGGAAUGCUGGGGAGAAGAAGUUGACAGGUGGAGCCAACUGGCAGCCGAAAGUCGCUCCUGCAACAUGGUCAUCAAGUGCACCAUUGCAAGGAACUGUACCUCCAACCAGUUCGGUUCCUCCUGUGGCUGGGGCCCCAUCUGUUGGACAACCAGGAACAGGAUUCGGAAUGCCUCCUUCUGGGUCAGGCAUGCCAAUGAUGGCUCAGCAGCCAGUCAUGUUUGCACAGCCCAUGAUGAGGCCACCUUUUGGGGCUGCAGCUGUACCAGGCACACAGCUUUCUCCAAGCCCUACACCUGCCACUCAGAGUCCCAAGAAACCUCCAGCAAAGGACCCAUUAGCGGAUCUUAACAUCAAGGAUUUCUUGUAAACAAUUUAAGACAAGGUGUCUCAGCCUUGAGACUCCAUCCAGGAGGUGUUUCCCAUCCCAGCUGUGAUUUUUUUUUUUUGACUGAACAGGAAAAAAAUGAGUUUGGAGACUUCAAAUAGGAUUGAUUCUCAGAGUUUCAAAGUGAGCCACCAGUACCAAUCCCAACGCUUACUCAUAACUUCUCUUCCAAAAUGUCUAGCACAGCUGUGAAAGUGAACAGUAGGAAUGUGUACUCCCUUAGCUGUGAUCCCUACUUUGGACCUUAUAGUGUAUUUGGACCAUUUGUGUGUUGUGCGAUAUAAACAAUGAAUGGAUGUUUCUGAUGCCUUUCGCGCUUUUCUGACCUCGCCUGUGUACGGAUGAUGCAGCUGUUGUGUGGUGAGCCAUUUGGAAAGACGUGUCUGUGUUUUUGAAGGUUCGAUGUAUAUAUAACUUUUGGACAGAACCUAAACCCUUCCCAUAAGUUCUCUUUUCUUCUGUAUCUCUGUUCCAAUCAUAGUGUGAUGAUGUCAACUAGUAGGAAAAACAACAACAAACAACUCUUAAACAUGCAAACUUUUUUGGUGUGGAGUACAAUUUUCCAAUCACAGGAACUUCAAUUGUUGUGAGAAAUGUUUAUUUUUGUGGCACUGUAUAUGUUAAGAAAUUUUAUUUUAAAAAAUAUAAAGGUUAACGUCCAUAAUAAAUACUUCUCCUUGAAGCUACCUUAUCAAGAAUGAGAAAUCAUAUGGAAGAAUUCCAUAUUUACCAUUGCUGUAUUGAAAUAUAUAUUUUAAUUAUAUUGGACAGAUUUUGCAUCUAAAUUGACCUAUUUAUUCAUUCUUGAUUAAAUGCACUGUCAGUAAGAAAGCAAUUAGAGAUGUGCUACUUCAAGUGAUUGUGAAGGCACCCUGAAGUACAAGUGUAAUUUAAAAUUUACUGCAAAUAUUUUUUAUUUUAUUGUGGGUUUUAUGUACAUCUGUUGAUUUAGUAUUUUUUUGUGCAUUCUGUAGACUAGUAUUCUUCCAUUCCUCAACAGAGCUCAAAGUAGGUUUUGUUGUACCAUUGUGAUUAGGACUUAAACUAAUUCAGAGAACUGUACCCUUUAUUGUACAUACUGUAUUCUUUAAUUUUUGAUUCGUUGUCAUACUGUCUGUGCUGAUGGCUUGGCUUAAGAUUUCGAUGCAUAAAUGAGGUCACUGUUGAUCAGUGUUGCUAGUGGCUUGGCAGCUCUUCGUAAAAGCAUAUUGGGUUGGAAAGGUGUUUGCCUAUUUUUCAAAUUAUUUAAUAGAUGUAUGGUACCCUUUAAAAGUGGUUGUAUCUGAAUUUACUGUGGGGAUAACAUACACUGUAAUGGGGGAAAAUUACCUAAAACCAAUUUCAAAAUGGCUUUUCUUUGUAUUUUGGUUUAAGAACCCAGUGCAUGUAAGCUCUCUGAGAUGCAAUAAACACCUUGAACAAAGAAAAC